UACGGAGGUGGCUAGCGUUGUUCGGAAUUACUGGGCGUAAAGCGCACGUAGGCGGACUGGAAAGUCAGGGGUGAAAUCCCGGGGCUCAACCCCGGAACUGCCUUUGAAACUCCCAGUCUUGAGGUCGAGAGAGGUGAGUGGAAUUCCGAGUGUAGAGGUGAAAUUCGUAGAUAUUCGGAGGAACACAAGUGGCGAAGGCGGCUCACUGGCUCGAUACUGGCGCUGAGGUGCGAAAGCGUGGGGAGCAAACAGG
This 253-nucleotide ribosomal RNA is filed under the name uncultured bacterium. RNAcentral describes it as "partial 16S ribosomal RNA". It matches the Rfam family "Bacterial small subunit ribosomal RNA", at positions 524 to 776 of the family's 1533-position model. The record is from RNAcentral.